Molecule: long non-coding RNA, 610 nt
Organism: Drosophila yakuba
Lineage: Eukaryota; Metazoa; Arthropoda; Insecta; Diptera; Drosophilidae
Exons: 2
Source: RefSeq, a predicted model, not a curated record
GGUAACUGUUGAACCUGGAUCCCCACAUCAGAUUGUCCAUAUAGGCUAUACUUGGCCACAUAUCCGUUGGGACCAGCUUCCACAUCAGGAGCAAUCUGUUCAACAACCUCAUCCCGCGUUGAGCCGUCAAGAUCAAUCCUACAAUAUGGAAGCCACUUGCUUGUGUUUACUGAAUUAUCUGUUAUUAUCCACUAUUUGUUUACCUCAGGGAAUAAUUAUUCUCAGAUGGCACCAGCACAACUCCAUUAUCGUUAAUGGGCGGCACGAACUUGGUAACUGAAGCUGUGGGUGCCGAAUUCACCAGACUCACAAGCAGAGCCAAAAUCACCUGUAGCAAAUAUUAUACAACGAUUGGCAGGCAAACUUUUGCAACGAACUCACUGAGCUUAACAUAAAGUGAGCCAUGAUGAUCUUUUGGCGGUUGGUUAGCGACUAAAGGUCUUAAAUGCCUCACAGCUGGCAGCUGGCAAAUAAACACUAACUUAAAACACGUCUAAAACUGGAAUCAUUCUCCGCUUAUAUAGUAUAAAAUGUGAUUUUUGAAUACUGUCAAUAAUGGUUAACAUAAGAAAACAAUAAAAGCACCCACAGUGAAUCAUUGACCAAGAAA